UCAUAGGUUCACUCCUUUUUCCUUGGCCAACAUCUUUAAAUCCUUCACUCACUUGAGAUUCAUUAAUCACAUCACACAUAUCCUCAAGUGGUUGGAAAGUUUUACUCACAAGUUGGGCAGCAACUUCCUCCGGGAAGCUCUCAACGUAAGGUUCUUGGACAAUCGGAUUUUGUGGGUAGAGUUUGGGUAGCAAUUGGCGUAUAAUUUCAAUGUGCCAUUUCAUAUAUUCAAUAUUGUCAUUGAUACGAUCACAUGUGACAUUGAAAUUAUGGGCAACCAUUGUACCUAACAAAAAUACACAACAAACAAACUUGUUAGGUCAAAAAUGCCUCACCACACUCUCACUCUCGGUUUUACCUCACACUUGGUUUCACAAGUGUUGAAAGCUGGCUUGUACUUCGUGAGUGAUUGAGUGUCGAGUCUACUCUUGUCCCGGAAUGGAGUUUUGUUUGAAACUCAAAUGAAAUCUUGUAGGAAUUAAGUCAAGAACUAACAACGAAUUCAAAAAUAUAAAAGUACACAACAAACAUAAACACGAACAAAUAGACACAAAACUAACUUACAAGCUAGUAGGAGAUUACUAGGUUGUCAAUUAGUGUUCGAACCAACAAACGAACUAAGAGACAAUAAAAUGAAACUAAGAAAUCUAAAAUUUGAG
RNAcentral lists this long non-coding RNA (658 nucleotides) under Capsicum annuum. RNAcentral's name for it is "long non-coding RNA (CANN_LNC021718)". The record is from RNAcentral. Lineage: Eukaryota; Viridiplantae; Streptophyta; Magnoliopsida; Solanales; Solanaceae.